Non-coding RNA from Phoenix dactylifera (date palm), 978 nucleotides. The record is from RefSeq and is a predicted model, not a curated record. NCBI's taxonomy places the organism in Eukaryota, Viridiplantae, Streptophyta, Magnoliopsida, Arecales, Arecaceae.
AAGCGAACCCAGUUCUUAAGGGAUAUCGCAGCAUGUGGACUGAGGAUUAUAAAGAAAAAUUUCAAAAUGUUGCUAGAGAAUAUACUAAAUAUAACGAGUUAUCUAGAAUUUAGUUACUUAGCAAUCCAAGGUAUCUUCUCAUUAAAUAAUAUUUUAUCAACCGCCGAAAAAUAUUCAAGCUAUCAAUACUACAUCCAUCCUGAGCCAUUAACUUUAAUAUAAAAUGACUAUGAUUUGGUUUCAGAUAUCCUCUGACCAAUUGAUGUGAAAUGAAACGGAUAUCCUACUUCCAUCUCGGAAUCAACAAUUUGGCUUGGAUCAGAUUUUUGCCUCAACGGUUACCAAGUUCUUAAGGUUUUAAAAUAGUCCGAAAUAUUUGUGUAAAGGCCCACAUUUUACUGGGCUUGGCAUACAAUCCGACCCAUGAGAAGGGGGAGGGAGACUCCCGACCGGGUCUUCUCCCUCCCCUGUUUCAAACCCAUCUUCCUCCUCCCGAAUCCACCAGAAAAAAAAAAAAAAACAGAGGAAAAAGGGGGAUUAAAUCUUACCUAAAUUGAACCAAACUCCAUCUAUAAAAGAUCCCUUUCUCCUCGUCCUAGGGCAUCAACCGAGUGCCGUUCAAAAGAAAAAGGAAAGAAAAAAAAGGGGAUCCGUGAGAUUGGGUUGUUUGCCGCCGAUCUUACUGGAGGAACUCGUCGCCGGAGGUAAGGAGAAUAAUCCAUUGGACGAAAGGAUGUUGAGCGGAGUUCUGCGCAUCCCAGUUUCUAAAUCGCCGUGAGGGCGGGUGAUUAGUCUAUCUGAGUUUUUCAACAAAGGAUGAAUAAGACCACUAGGAGCAGGGAGCUUGAUGUUAUUCAGGGUUGGGAUAAUUGAAAAUGUUAUGUAAUAAUCAGAUUUUAGAAUCUCUGUACUAUUCCAACUUCUUCAAUAAUGUUAUGACAUUAGUAAAUGAAACUAUUUAUUUUUAUUAUAAAAUUU